This 250-nucleotide ribosomal RNA is filed under the name uncultured bacterium. RNAcentral's name for it is "partial 16S ribosomal RNA". It matches the Rfam family "Bacterial small subunit ribosomal RNA", at positions 779 to 1023 of the family's 1533-position model. The record is from RNAcentral.
UAGAUACCCUGGUAGUCCAUGCUGUAAACGUUGGGCACUAGGUGUGGGGGGUCUUUCCGGGUCUUCCGCGCCGUAGCUAACGCAUUAAGUGCCCCGCCUGGGGAGUACGGCCGCAAGGCUAAAACUCAAAGGAAUUGACGGGGGCCCGCACAAGCGGCGGAGCAUGCGGAUUAAUUCGAUGCAACGCGAAGAACCUUACCAAGCUUGACAUGGGCCGGUGGUUCCCGGAGACGGGAGCGUCCCCUUUUUG